This 777-nucleotide non-coding RNA is filed under the name Dendrolimus superans (Japanese hemlock caterpillar). Lineage: Eukaryota; Metazoa; Arthropoda; Insecta; Lepidoptera; Lasiocampidae. The record is from RNAcentral.
UUUUUAUAGUUUAUAUAAUUUAUUUUAAAUUUAUUUUACAUAUAAAUUUUAGUAAAUAUUUUAUUUUAUUUUAAUAAUAAAAUAUUUAAUUAAGUAGUAAUUAAUAUUAAAAAUUUAAGAAAUUAAGAUUUAGUAAUAUAAAAAUUAAAAACUAAUUUUGUGCCAGCAGUUGCGGUUAAACAAAAUUUAAAAUAAAUUUUUUUAGUAAUUAAUUAUUAAAAAUUUAUAAAUUAAUUUAAAUUUUAAAUUAUUAAGUGAAAUUUUAAUUUAAUAAAAAAUUAAAAUUUUUAUUUAUGAUAAUUAAUAAAUUUUAAAAAAAAACUAGGAUUAGAUACCCUAUUAUGAAAAAUUUAAAAUAAAUAUACUAAAAUAGUAAUUAAUUUUUUAUUGAAACUUAAAUAAAUUGGCGGUAUUUUAGUUCAUUUAGAGGAAUCUGUUUAAUAAUUGAUAUUCCACGAAUAAAUUUACUUAAUUUAAUAAUUUGUAUAUCGUUGUUAAAAAAAUAUUUUAAAAUAAUUAAUAAUAUUUAAAAAUUUAAAUUUAAAAUUAAAUCAGAUCAAGAUGUAGUUUAUAAUUAAGAAUAUAAUGGAUUACAAUAAAUUUAUUUAAAUGAAUAUAAAUUUGUAAAAAUUUAUUGAAGGUGAAUUUAAAAGUAAUUUUAUUUAGUUUUUUAAAAUGAUUAAAAAUUAAAAUAUGUACAUAUUGCCCGUCACUUUCAUAUAUAAGUUGAAAUAAGUCGUAACAAAGUAGAGGUACUGGAAAGUGUUUCUAGAAUGU